RNAcentral lists this ribosomal RNA (468 nucleotides) under uncultured bacterium. RNAcentral's name for it is "partial 16S ribosomal RNA". It matches the Rfam family "Bacterial small subunit ribosomal RNA", at positions 28 to 507 of the family's 1533-position model. The record is from RNAcentral.
GACGAACGCUGGCGGCGUGCUUAACACAUGCAAGUCGAACGGAAAGGCCCUGCUUUUGUGGGGUGCUCGAGUGGCGAACGGGUGAGUAACACGUGAGUAACCUGCCCUUGACUUUGGGAUAACUUCAGGAAACUGGGGCUAAUACCGGAUAGGAGCUCCUGCUGCAUGGUGGGGGUUGGAACGUUUCGGCGGUUGGGGAUGGACUCGCGGCUUAUCAGCUUGUUGGUGGGGUAGUGGCUUACCAAGGCUUUGACGGGUAGCCGGCCUGAGAGGGUGACCGGCCACAUUGGGACUGAGAUACGGCCCAGACUCCUACGGGGGGCAGCAGUGGGGAAUAUUGCACAAUGGGCGGAAGCCUGAUGCAGCAACGCCGCGUGCGGGAUGACGGCCUGCGGGUUGUAAACCGCUUUCGCCUGUGACGAAGCGUGAGUGACGGUAAUGGGUAAAGAAGCACCGGCUAACUACGUG